UGGCCUUCUCGCGGCUUUCCCCCGAUAUCUCUCUUUAUUCCAGCUGCCUGAAACUCGGUCCCACGAAUGGCAGGCAGCGUCCAAAAUUCAACCCCGUAAAGCCAGCACCAGCCAAUAAAGCGCACGGAUGGAGGCCACGUGACAGCAGUGGGCCGGCCCUCCGGCUGAGCCCUGAUCUCUAUGGUUUCCGCGGCUCGCUAGAAGGAGUGUGGUCCACCGGAGGACUCCCUACAUUCUUCCUCCAUUACCUCACUGCCUCCGGUGGCUGCUGGGAUACCGGAGGACUCGGGUCCCGGCUCGACUCAGUCCUCCAGCCGCCCGGGGAAUACCUCUAGUUCUUCCCGGCCGCCGCCGCCGCCGCCGCCCCGCCGCUUCCUCCUCCGCCUGCCGGCCUCCUUCGCCCCGUCCCGUCCGCGCAGCGCGUCCGGCCCGCCCGCAGGCCAGCUUCUCUCGGGAGCCCCCACCCAGGCGCAUGGCUCCAUGAAGCAAGAGGAGGAGGCAGAGCGCGAGAGGUCCCGUCCGCCCCAGCCGCGUCUGGGCCAGGAUAAAAGCAAAACCAUAUUCCUGCUGCUGUCAGUUAUGAUGCACUGAGAAAACUUCAGAGACCUAAACUUUUUCCAGAGAAGAGAAGCUUUACUGGUGUUCCAGCCCUAAGGCUCAUAUGACAUUAACAGACAAGACACUUUUCAGAAAGACAGGGAACUGUGGAAGUAAACCAGGGGUGACAUGGAUUAUCAAAUAUUGUGGAUCAGGUGAGCUCUAGGCUUCUCAAUGCAAGGCAACGUGUUGGACCUUCCGGAGCUUCUCAGAAGACAGAGGGUUUUCUUUUGAGGUAAAUUUGAUAGUACAUUUUGAUAGUACGGGAGGCGAUACGGCAUGGUGACAGAAAAGCGCCGGCUUGGUUAGCAGGACCACCUGGCAGGGCUGCAGGCUGUGCCACUUACCAGGCAGGGGACCUUGGGCCAGCUGCUUGGCCUCACUCACCCUGUUUCUCAGCUGCAAUUGGGAUGAACAGACUGCCUGCUUCGGGGUUGCCUAAAACUCACAUUGGUUAAUGAUGUGAAAUGCUUAGCGCAGUGCCUGGCAUAGAGAGAAUUCUCAUUAGAUGAUACCUCAGCUGGGCUUUAGGAGCUACAGAAGAAGCUGCAUCUCCAUGAGCUCAGCGUGUUUCUAGCUUUCCUUUUUGUUUUCUAUUCAACCUUUCACCCAACUCAGCUUCUCAAUCCCUAAAUGACAAAGGUUUGGGAAGGAAGACUUGGACCGAGGCUUGCAUUUGUUUCUGAGAAUUAAACGUUAUGUUUUCUUCAAUCUAAAUAGGUUUGCUUGUACAGCCUUGUUGAAUGGUUUUUUUUUUUUUUCUCCAUGAUAAAUGACUCUCAACUUCUUUUCCCUCAUCUAAUUGCUUAUCUACAUACAAUGCCUGGAAGGAAAUAAAUGUAAUGGCCCGUAGCAACUGGCCUUCAGGUAUCAAGUUUAAGUCCCUUUAAGCAGAACAGCAAAUUGAGCACAGAAUGAACUGGUUUCAUGGUAGCGUACUGCAAUUAGAUGCAAGAAUAGGGAAAGCAGGGUGCUUCAAGUGGUGACACAAUUAGUAUAGCACUGAGGGACUUCUCUUUCCACUUCUUCAACUCCGCCUGCAUUCCGCUGGCUGAAGAGUUGAUGACAUCCCUGAAAAAUCUUCCCUCUCUUGUUUCUCUGAUGCCACCUCUGUGUUCUCCGCCUCACUGGCCACACUUCCUUUACCUCCCAAACUUUUAACUCUGAGUGUCCCAAACUUGUCUCAUCACCUACCCCUGCUGCCCAGCUCCCCAGCCUGUUCCCCUUCUGACACGGGCACUCUCCUUCUGCUCUCUUGGGAGAGAAACAAUGAAGGCCUAUUUGGCACUUUUAUUUCUAUUCAAGGAACCAGACUGUGAACAAGUUUACCAUUUAGUCCUUUGGACUGUGUCUUGAAUUCAUCCCUCUUCUCCAUUCUCACCAGCACCAUCAUCAUGAUGGCUAAUAUUUCCUGAGCACCUUUCAUUCAGGCAUGAUGCCAGGUGCACCAACUUACUUAAUCCUCAUAGCCACCACCUGAGCAAGCUCCUGUUUUAUAAAUGGACCAGUUCUUGUUGCUGUUGUACAAGUUAUUUUCUUUCUAUAACGUCCUCCUUGUCCUCCUUCCACAUUCUUAAAGAAACUUUCCCUUCCUUUAAAGUACUCAGGGAGCCCUGCAUUGCUUCUUGAAGCCUUCUCCAGCUUCAUCAUCUCACAGUGGUCUCUCUUUUCACUAAAUGUCCAAUAUGCUGCACAUAAGUACCCCAAAGUUAGCACAGAAUUGUUCCAUGGCUGUCAUAUAUGUUAAAAAUCAUUAAAAGUUCAUUUUUUCUCCCAUUAUGGGAAGGAUACAUGCUCCUACUAGUAAAUUUAGUUGGUAGAAAAAAAUUAUCACUAUCUAGACUGCUUUCCCUUUAGUCUUUAUGCAUAGCUUUCUGUCUGCCUAUUUUUACUUUGUGUUUGUAACUUACUAUUAUAAAAUAUGCAUCUCUAUGUUCAUUGUCAACAUUAUUUACAAUAACAUGGAGUGGAUUUACAUGUAUUCUCUAUAUUUGGAUUAAAGGAGAUAGAGUAUGUGAAAUUAAAUGGGAGAAGUAUCUGAUACAUAACAGGCAAUACAAAUAUUAUCACAUAGCGUCAAUUUAUUUGUGAAUAUUGAAAGCUCCA
This 2703-nucleotide long non-coding RNA is filed under the name Homo sapiens (human). RNAcentral's name for it is "HSALNT0165166". Lineage: Eukaryota; Metazoa; Chordata; Mammalia; Primates; Hominidae. The record is from RNAcentral.